Molecule: ribosomal RNA, 497 nt
Filed under: uncultured bacterium
Lineage: Bacteria
Description: partial 16S ribosomal RNA
Rfam family: Bacterial small subunit ribosomal RNA
Source: RNAcentral
GAUGAACGCUGGCGGCGUGCCUAAUACAUGCAAGUCGAGCGAACAGAUGAGGAGCUUGCUCCUCUGACGUUAGCAGCGGACGGGUGAGUAACACGUGGAUAACCUACCUAUAAGACUGGGAUAACUUCGGGAAACCGGAGCUAAUACCGGAUAAUAUAUUGAACCGCAUGGUUCAAUAGUGAACGACGGUUUUGCUGUCACUUAUAGAUGGAUCCGCGCCGCAUUAGCUAGUUGGUAAGGUAACGGCUUACCAAGGCAACGAUGCGUAGCCGACCUGAGAGUGUGAUCGGCCACACUGGAACUGAGACACGGUCCAGACUCCUACGGGAGGCAGCAGUAGGGAAUCUUCCGCAAUGGGCGAAAGCCUGACGGAGCAACGCCGCGUGAGUGAUGAAGGUCUUCGGAUCGUAAAACUCUGUUAUUAGGGAAGAACAAAUGUGUAAGUAACUAUGCACGUCUUGACGGUACCUAAUCAGAAAGCCACGGCUAACUACGUG